Molecule: long non-coding RNA, 1354 nt
Filed under: Corvus moneduloides (New Caledonian crow)
Lineage: Eukaryota; Metazoa; Chordata; Aves; Passeriformes; Corvidae
Description: lncRNA (ENSCMUG00000018690.1)
Source: RNAcentral
UUCCAACCUCAAUUAUUCUCUAAGUAGCCUCCAGUAGUGGAAGUGAAGCACUCUGCUUUUUGGCUGGGUCAUUCCCAGCUAGCAUCCCACCUGGUCUAGCUCUGCAGUCUGUCUGGAUGACAGUGCCAGGUUCUUAUUUGCCUCAGAGAAAGAGCCCAUAAUGGUGUUUUUUAAUCACUGGAGUUUUACUGGGAGAGAGAAAACUGGAGUUUUCUGAUGAAGUCUGUCUCAACUAGUGCAGAUGGAUUUUUCUUCCUACUGAAACAAAACAGUUAAGUUCUGACCUGCCCUUUAUCUUUAAAGAAUUUUAAUCUUUUGAUCAAGCAAAAAAUAGUGGUGUUCAAACUCUCUAAACUUUGUUGUUUCCCUGUCUCCCCACGUAUCUUCCUACUUGCCAGUGACCGUUCAUUGCCAAUUCCUUAUGGAUAACAUGUUACAGGAACGACUGCAUCAAUGUGUUGCUGAGCAAGCUUUAUUGGCACCUUGGAAAUGGGGCACAUCUUGAUCCAAAAGCUCUGGACAGGGUUGGUGAUCACUGGCUGAGGACUGGUGACAGAACUCCUCUCCAUAGUUCUCAAGGAGGCACCUUCAGCUGGUAAAAAGCACAAAAAGCCAAUUUCAUCAUGCAGAUCAGUCUCUCCUGUUCUUGAGAAACAAGGUCUCUUCAGCUUAGAGGGAUGUAGGAGCUUCUGUUUUUACAAGUAAGUCCAGCAGAUGUAAACCAAAGUGGCCUCUAAACAACAGAAUUGAAUAAAUGGUUUUUAAUGGUUAUUAUUCGGGGUUGCUGCAAGAUCAAAUAUGAGUGACAACAUAGAAGAAAUAAAGAGGAGUGAAAGGUAAUUCAGUUUGCUGUAGUGUUCCUUUCUUCCAUUCCACUUCUCUCUCUGCAGAGAAACACAAAGCAGCUGUUUAUUCUUUUCCUACUCUCUCAGUUCUUUCCAAUCUAGGUAAAAAAUCUAAGUAAUUAGACUAUAAUAUAAAUGCUGGUGGUGAGCAAUUGAUUUUCACACUUCUCUGUAGCAGAUGGAACCAUAGUGCAGAUAACCAGCGCAGUUGCACCACACUAAUGACCACCUGAGUUUUCACAAGUAAUUUGUCUUUACUGCAGCAUAAAACCUUUGAUUUUUUAACAACCAGGAACAUAUUUCCCUGUUAAGGCUUUAAGCUUUGGUGACUGAAUGCAACCAUUUACCUUUAAAGCCUCAAUGAAUAUCUGCUGAAAAAAAUGAUAGUUUGUCCUUCAGCUUCCCCGAGUCCUCUGGUGCAAUUAAGCUCCUCUACAGAGGCAUCAUGUUAGGAUUUAUCUCACCUUAGGUAUUUCUAGGAUAGACAUCUACUGCUGGGUAGUCUAGAC